Acipenser ruthenus (sterlet) is the source of this 451-nucleotide long non-coding RNA. RefSeq lists it as uncharacterized. The record is from RefSeq and is a predicted model, not a curated record. The transcript is spliced from 3 exons. NCBI's taxonomy places the organism in Eukaryota, Metazoa, Chordata, Actinopteri, Acipenseriformes, Acipenseridae.
UUUAACUAUUUUUUUCAAAAGGUAAAAUUCUUGAUGACCGCCUUGGGCAAAAUAAAUGUGUGGAAAAAGAAGACUGCCCCUGCAAAUUCGAUGGACAGAUUUAUAAACCAAAUAGCACACGUACAGAAUUGUGUUCAUCAUGUACUUGUGAAAGUGGAGAAUGGAAUUGUCAAAAAAAGGAUUGUCUUUCAAGAUGCACAAUUGAAGGGGGGUCUUUCAUCCAUACAUUUGAUGGCAAAGAGUACACAUUGCAUGGAAACUGCAAGUACUAUGCUGCUAUGGGGGAUAACUGGAAAUUAAUAAUUCAGCUGAGUAAGUGUGACAGCAGAGUGACUUGCCUGACAAAGGUGGAACUUGAAAUCACUGGUAACCAAGUAAGUUUUCAGAUUGAGAAUACUGGUACAUGUAUUUUUAAAUUAAAUGGUGUGUUUGCAAUGAAAUGCAAGUAAGG